This 90-nucleotide transfer RNA is filed under the name Actinomadura livida. RNAcentral describes it as "tRNA-Asp". Lineage: Bacteria; Bacillati; Actinomycetota; Actinomycetes; Streptosporangiales; Thermomonosporaceae. The record is from RNAcentral.
CGCCUACCUGGUGGACGGCUCGCCGCUGCGCGCCCCGGUCGAGGGCGCGGUGGCCGCGGCCGGCACGCUGAUCGGGGCGGCGCGGGCGGC